RNAcentral lists this ribosomal RNA (402 nucleotides) under uncultured bacterium. RNAcentral describes it as "bacterial SSU rRNA". It matches the Rfam family "Bacterial small subunit ribosomal RNA", at positions 356 to 773 of the family's 1533-position model. The record is from RNAcentral.
GGGGAAUAUUGCACAAUGGGCGAAAGCCUGAUGCAGCGACGCCGCGUGAGUGAAGAAGUAUUUCGGUAUGUAAAGCUCUAUCAGCAGGGACGAAUAAAUGACGGUACCUGACUAAGAAGCCCCGGCUAACUACGUGCCAGCAGCCGCGGUAAUACGUAGGGGGCAAGCGUUAUCCGGAUUUACUGGGUGUAAAGGGAGCGUAGACGGUGAUGUAAGUCAGAUGUGAAAGCCCGGGGCUCAACCCCGGGACUGCAUUUGAAACUAUGUUGCUAGAGUGCAGGAGAGGUAAGUGGAAUUCCUAGUGUAGCGGUGAAAUGCGUAGAUAUUAGGAGGAACACCAGUGGCGAAGGCGGCUUACUGGACUGUAACUGACGCUGAGGCGCGAAAGCGUGGGGAGCAAAC